Molecule: non-coding RNA, 73 nt
Organism: Dallia pectoralis (Alaska blackfish)
Lineage: Eukaryota; Metazoa; Chordata; Actinopteri; Esociformes; Umbridae
Source: the annotation of a GenBank genome assembly
UUUUGUGUAGCUUAGUUUGUAGGGCAUGGCACUUACAAUGCCAGGGUUGUGGGUCGGAUUCCUACUGGAAAGC